This 2428-nucleotide long non-coding RNA is filed under the name Panax ginseng (ginseng). RNAcentral describes it as "long non-coding RNA (PGIN_LNC013190)". The record is from RNAcentral. Lineage: Eukaryota; Viridiplantae; Streptophyta; Magnoliopsida; Apiales; Araliaceae.
UGAGCUAACAUGUUGAUAAUCAAAGCGUACAUAAUCUGUACAGGAAUAGAAUAAUUCUGAAACUUCUUACUCAUGUCCAUUGCAUAAAGGAAAUGCAAAGGUAAGAUACUUGCCUGAUUCGCUGAUUACAAAUCUCAACUUAGGUUUUAUCUCUUUAUCACAACCUAUCAAUAAUCAGAUCAUUCGUUCGAUUAGAACAAUAUAUCAUAACACAUAGUACUGUCUAUUACAGUCAGCACAUAGUCUAAUCACGUCAUCACAUAAUCGCAGUGAUCAUACUUUUAGUUCAUAUUCUAUACUUGAAAUAUUUUUAUACAUUUUUCAAAUAUCUCAUCCAUGCUCUUACAGAAGUCUUUUCUUUCUAUUAUAGGGUCUGACAUUUGUCGGCGUACCGACAGCUUUAUCGGGUAAAUACUGAGUCUAAGACUCUUAUCCUAUACCUCAACAUCUGUAAAUAUCAAACAUUUUAUUUUUAAUCAUUUUCGAAUUUUCCAGAAAUUGAAAAAUUUAAAAUAAUUCAAAUCUGUCACUACCGGGCCUAUAGUGAUAUAACUGUUACUAUAGGUGUUCCUCAAAACUUCAUAACUUCAUAAUCGGUUCUCAAGUCAGCUAGUUUGGCCGGCUAUAACUUUCAAACAUCGGAAUCAUAAUUAAAUGAUUUAAACAUUAAACAAUUCCAUUAUCAUUAAUAAUUAAUUUAUAUUAAACUAUUAAUGAAACCAUUGCCAAAAUAUAAAAGUUAUUUAUAAUAACUCAAACUAUUUUUAAAACAUUUAUAUUACCCUUAAAUGAUUUUUAAAACAAUUAAAAUCAUUUUUAAAUAAUCACCAUUAAUAUAUAAAUAUUAAUGUACUAUUCAUCCAAAUAUUAAAAGUCAUUAAUUAUAACUUAAAAUAUUUUUAAAUCCUUAAUAUCCUCUUUAAAUGAUUUUUAAAUAAAUAAAACCAUUUUUAAACUAUUUAUUUAAUAAUAAUUAUUAAAUAAACUAAAUAUCAUUAAUAUUAUCUUAAUAUCAUUAAUAUUAAAUUAUUAAUGAAAUUAUCCUUUAAAUAUUAAAAGUUAUAUUUUAUAACUUAAAAUAUUUUUAAAUACCUUAAUUUCAUUUAAAAUGAUUUUUAUAAUAUUAAAAUCAUUUUUAAACUAAAUUAUUUAAUAUAAUCAUUAAAUAACUUUAAUAUCAUUAAUAUAUAAUUAAUUAAUGAAAUUCAUCACAAAAUAUUAAAAGUCAUGGAAAAUAACUUAAAAUAUUUUCUUAUACCAUAAAAUAAUUUUUCAUGAUUUUUCAUGAAUUAAAACUAUUUUUAAAUCAUUUAUUUAAUAUUAUAAUUAAAUAAAUAAAUACCUUUUAUAUUCCAAAAAUAUUAAAUAUUUAUGAAAUAUACUCAAAAUAAUUAAAAACUAUUUUUUGGACUUUAAAAUAAUUUUUUCAGAAUUUAUUUGGUAUUUUUAAUAAUUAAAAUCUAUUUUUUCUAAUUUUUAAAAUAAUUUCCGGAAAAUAAUAAUAAUAACCGUCGCUAAAGGCCCCUAUAGCGACAGAACCGUCGCUAUAGGUGUUCUUGAGCCUGCCCAGAAAUUCUAAGGCAGAACCGAGUAGCCUACUUUGACCGUGUGUAGUUUUGUGUGUGUUGCGAUUCUGACAAUGUUCUUGGUCAGAUCUUGUAGAGGAAAUACAAGACUACAAGAUCCAACAAACAUCAUGGCUAUCCAACAUCAGAUCUGGGAGAAAAUGGCCAUCAAAGUAGCUGUCAGAGCUGUUCUUCGUGAAGAACAGUUCGAGAUGGCUACUUUGAACCUCUAUAUCUUGAUGAUCGUGUAACGUUUAUGUGAUCUAUCAAUUCCAGUGUGUAGAAAAUAUGUAAGACUACAACUUUAACACUUAACAUCAUCAUAACAACAACAGAUCUAACGAGAAAUGGCCGGUUAAAGUGCAACACGGAAACUGUUCAUGAAAAAUCUGGUUUCGCUAGUUUGGCAGAUUUGGUCAAUGAGUUUUGACCGCUUAUAUCUCUCAAUCUAAAACUGAUCUUGACUUAAUUCUUUUUGCAUCUUAAAGACCACAUAUCAGGCUACAUGUUACAAGUUUUAAACAUCAAAAACACUAAACACACACGAAUCUAUGGGGUCUGACAUUUGCUUGUCAGACCAUAUUUUCGGUUUUUCCAAAGUUUGAAAAACUUUGAUUUUGAGCACUUUGAUGUUAUGAGUCAUGAAUUUAACAACUCAAAACAUUAAUAGACUCCUUAUUACACAAAUUUAAACAAUCAAUUGCAUCAAUUAACAUCGAAUCGAAGGAUUUCUAGAAUUUAAGGUUUCCUACCUUUUUGAGCUUCGAUUCUUGAAUUUCUGACUUUGAUUCGUUGUUGUGAUGGCUGGGCUUUGAUUAUAGACUGAUCUAGCAAGCUAAUUUCGUAGCUUUUAGAGAGNNNNN